GGGAAGGUGGCUCAGUGGUAGAGUGCUUGCCUUGCAUGCAUGAGGUCUUAGGUUCGAUUCCUCAGCACCCCA
Dipodomys ordii (Ord's kangaroo rat) is the source of this 72-nucleotide non-coding RNA. NCBI's taxonomy places the organism in Eukaryota, Metazoa, Chordata, Mammalia, Rodentia, Heteromyidae. The record is from Rfam.